GGCCCCGCACAAGCGGCGGAGCAUGCGGAUUAAUUCGAUGCAACGCGAAGAACCUUACCUGGGUUUGACAUAUACCGGAAACGUCUAGAGAUAGGCGCCCCCUUGUGGUCGGUAUACAGGUGGUGCAUGGCUGUCGUCAGCUCGUGUCGUGAGAUGUUGGGUUAAGUCCCGCAACGAGCGCAACCCUCGUCCUAUGUUGCCAGCGGAUAAUGCCGGGGACUCGUAGGAUACUGCCGGGGUCAACUCGGAGGAAGGUGGGGAUGACGUCAAGUCUUCAUGCCCCUUAUGUCCAGGGCUUCACGCAUGCUACAAUGGCCGGUACAGAGGGCUGCAAUCCCGCAAGGGUGAGCGAAUCCCAAAAAGCCGGUCUCAGUUCGGAUUGGGGUCUGCAACUCGACCCCAUGAAGUCGGAGUCGCUAGUAAUCGCAGAUCAGCAACGCUGCGGUGAAUACGUUCCCGGGGCUUGUACACACCGCCCGUCAAGUCAUGAAAGUCGGUAACACCCGAAGCCAGUGGCCCAACCGUAAGGAGGGAGCUGUCGAAGGUGGGACCGGUAAUUAGGACUAAGUCGUAACAAGGUAGCCGUACCGGAAGGUGCGGCU
Molecule: ribosomal RNA, 602 nt
Filed under: uncultured Aestuariimicrobium sp.
Lineage: Bacteria; Bacillati; Actinomycetota; Actinomycetes; Propionibacteriales; Propionibacteriaceae
Description: bacterial SSU rRNA
Rfam family: Bacterial small subunit ribosomal RNA
Source: RNAcentral